RNAcentral lists this ribosomal RNA (1108 nucleotides) under Escherichia coli. RNAcentral's name for it is "partial 23S ribosomal RNA". It matches the Rfam family "Bacterial large subunit ribosomal RNA", at positions 439 to 1548 of the family's 2925-position model. The record is from RNAcentral. Lineage: Bacteria; Pseudomonadati; Pseudomonadota; Gammaproteobacteria; Enterobacterales; Enterobacteriaceae.
UGAAUAUGGGGGGACCAUCCUCCAAGGCUAAAUACUCCUGACUGACCGAUAGUGAACCAGUACCGUGAGGGAAAGGCGAAAAGAACCCCGGCGAGGGGAGUGAAAAAGAACCUGAAACCGUGUACGUACAAGCAGUGGGAGCACAGAGCAAUCUGUGUGACUGCGUACCUUUUGUAUAAUGGGUCAGCGACUUAUAUUCUGUAGCAAGGUUAACCGAAUAGGGGAGCCGAAGGGAAACCGAGUCUUAACUGGGCGUUAAGUUGCAGGGUAUAGACCCGAAACCCGGUGAUCUAGCCAUGGGCAGGUUGAAGGUUGGGUAACACUAACUGGAGGACCGAACCGACUAAUGUUGAAAAAUUAGCGGAUGACUUGUGGCUGGGGGUGAAAGGCCAAUCAAACCGGGAGAUAGCUGGUUCUCCCCGAAAGCUAUUUAGGUAGCGCCUCGUGAAUUCAUCUCCGGGGGUAGAGCACUGUUUCGGCAAGGGGGUCAUCCCGACUUACCAACCCGAUGCAAACUGCGAAUACCGGAGAAUGUUAUCACGGGAGACACACGGCGGGUGCUAACGUCCGUCGUGAAGAGGGAAACAACCCAGACCGCCAGCUAAGGUCCCAAAGUCAUGGUUAAGUGGGAAACGAUGUGGGAAGGCCCAGACAGCCAGGAUGUUGGCUUAGAAGCAGCCAUCAUUUAAAGAAAGCGUAAUAGCUCACUGGUCGAGUCGGCCUGCGCGGAAGAUGUAACGGGGCUAAACCAUGCACCGAAGCUGCGGCAGCGACGCUUAUGCGUUGUUGGGUAGGGGAGCGUUCUGUAAGCCUGCGAAGGUGUGCUGUGAGGCAUGCUGGAGGUAUCAGAAGUGCGAAUGCUGACAUAAGUAACGAUAAAGCGGGUGAAAAGCCCGCUCGCCGGAAGACCAAGGGUUCCUGUCCAACGUUAAUCGGGGCAGGGUGAGUCGACCCCUAAGGCGAGGCCGAAAGGCGUAGUCGAUGGGAAACAGGUUAAUAUUCCUGUACUUGGUGUUACUGCGAAGGGGGGACGGAGAAGGCUAUGUUGGCCGGGCGACGGUUGUCCCGGUUUAAGCGUGUAGGCUGGUUUUCCAGGCAAAUCCGGAAA